Felis catus (domestic cat) is the source of this 2078-nucleotide long non-coding RNA. RefSeq lists it as uncharacterized. NCBI's taxonomy places the organism in Eukaryota, Metazoa, Chordata, Mammalia, Carnivora, Felidae. The record is from RefSeq and is a predicted model, not a curated record. The transcript is spliced from 4 exons.
CACAGCUGAGCGUUCAAAUGCGGGCGGCCAGCUAGCCAAUCUGGCCUCGCCACAUCGGCGCGAGAAGCCUGUUUCCGGCCGGCCAUCUUGGGUGUAGAACUCUUCCCCGAGGCUUUGCCGUAACUAUGAACGCCAUAUACUCCUGGGGUUGAAAGAAGGAAAGUACCCCUGAGUGUGGCUUACUGUGGCUGCUUGCGUGUUCCCCGGGGUCACGGGGCUGGGAUACGCCCCCCCCCCCCACGAGCCUCCCUCUGAGCUCCAGGACCCCGUGGCACUUGCUGUGCUGGAGCCUAGGUCCAUGUCCCUUUGUCGGCGGAGCGGCAGGCUCGCCCCGCCCCCGCACCACCACCCCGCCCCCUGCAUUAACCGAAGAUUCCGGAGCUGCCUUUGCUGUAAGCCAUGCACAGUUUCCCGGUUCGUCGAAGACAAGUGGCAGAGCUGCGCCCUCUCGCUGGAGAAAGGGCAAGGAGAAGCCUCCCUCAUGAUCCAGGGCAUGGCAGACCCCGUGUACACCUUUGGGCCCACCCUGACCAGGCAGAGAAAAGAGACGUUAUGCUCCCCAGGGUGACUUGGAGACAGAGGCGACAACCGCACCAAGGGUGGCAAAGGAGCACUGUCAUUCCUUCUCCGGCUGUGCCCCACUCCUAGCCUUUGAGGGCAGCCUUGCGGUGCAGUUCUGGACGCUUCCGUCCUCCCAGGGCCCAGAUUGUGGCACACCCCCACGCCUCCUCAACACACUCCUUUCCCUGCCCACUGUGUUCCAGCACAUCGAAAGUGUGCCCCUGAGAUGGUUCACAAUAAGCCCCUCAACCCCCCAACAAGAAUAGGAUCCAAGAGAGGUGGGCAGAGUUAGUGCUUGAGUUACCAGCGAUCUCCGUAAAUCCCAGAACUGUCCACACUUCUGGAGGUGGGGACAGGAGAAAGAUUCCCGUCUCCACCUCAUGCCAAGGGAGUCCGGGCAUUGAAACCGAUCAACUACUGGCCACCAGUGAGUCCAAGUUCAGUCAACCAAACAAGCACGGGCCUGUAUUUCUUACCAGCUACGAGUGCUCCACAUUCCGUCAGUAACAUUUAGAACCCUUGCAGGUACAGAAGGAAGGGAAUUUUUAGGGCUGUCGGGGGAGUUCUGUGCGUGUCGUCGUGCUGUGACUGGAGCUGAGAGGUAAGGAACUAAAGUUGCCAUUGUUUUCUCUGCGCGCUCCGGGAUCACCACACCACAGUCUUCAGAGCCGUCCUUACCGCCGUGACAGUACAGCAGCCACGCCGGCUCCUCAGGGCUUCCCGCAGGUGGCCCUUCAUCCCCGUUCACUGCGGGUGACAGCCUGACGAAGGAAGAGGUCCCCGCAGACCACGGGUGCUACGUAGGCGCCCAGUUCCCAUUGGCAGGGAGCCCGAGCCCUGCCCUGGGGCCCAAGGGCGCGACCACACCCAUCCCCACAUCCCCACUUGGCGGGCCCCUCUUCUGAGACCACUCCCAGGUCCGACUCUGUAGCAGUCGGGCAGGAGAAGGAGACGAGAAAUAGACACGGUUUCUCAGCAGACGAAAUCGAAUACGAGCAUUUGGUGGCUCAGGGCCCGGAGGGCUGAAGAAACAGAUCGUAUGGCAGAAAGCUGCCGUCCCUAAGGCGAGGGGAAGCGGGGAAGAGGUCGGGCUGAGCAGACACCUAGACGCCAGGAUGAGGGGCCUGGAAGAGGCAGAGCCUGGAUCUCUGAGGAGGGGCUGCCACAAUUUCUCAGGGAAGGCGGAAGCAACCUUAUCCACCACGAGGGGAUAUGGGGCAGGAGAUGAUUUCUGAGGACCAUCUUCCAGGCCAUUGAAGACUUGGGGAGGUGGAGUAGCUUUCUAUCACAAUAACGCAAACAACGCGUAGAUAUCCACGAGCGCCGCUCUCUGAUCUCCUGAGAAAUCAAAGGUAAUGCCAGUCUGGGUUUUAAAGUCCCCCCCCCGCCCCACCCCACCCCACCCCACCCCAGUUAAGCACAAGAGGGGAAGGCGGCUCUCUUUCUCACCCUGCCCCCUUUGCUGUGUGCUGGCCCGAGGAGGCUUCCGUGGGGGGUGGCCACCUGGGCUCACCUCU